GGUGAUUAGGUCAUGAGGGUGGAGCUUCAUGAAUAAGAUUAGUGCCAUUGUCAAGGGAACCCAGAGAGCUCUUUGACUCUUUUUCCAACAUGUGAGAUCACAACAAGAAGAUGCCUGUUUAUGAACGAGGAAGCUAAGUGGGCCCUCAUGAGACAGCAGAUCUUCCAGUGCCUUGAUUUCAAACUUUCCAGCCUCCAGAACUAUGAGAAAUAAAUCUUGGUUGUUUAAGCCAUCAAGUUUAUGGUAUUUUUGUUAAAGCAGCCCGAACAGACAAAGGCAAAUUGAAGAAGUAGGCAAUGUUAAAAGAAAGACAUAUUAUAUGUAAGUAAAUAUGUGGAUACAUUGGAUGCAUGUAAGCAUAGAUUCCUAGUCUCCACAAAUAUCAGCUUAUCUAAAACAAGUGAAAAAACAAUUAUAAACAAUUACCUUAUCAAUGUUUAAAUGAGGUUCAUUAUUCUCAGAAUCACUGAA
RNAcentral lists this long non-coding RNA (471 nucleotides) under Homo sapiens (human). Its description in RNAcentral is "non-protein coding lnc-TMEM182-12:1". The record is from RNAcentral. Lineage: Eukaryota; Metazoa; Chordata; Mammalia; Primates; Hominidae.